Molecule: ribosomal RNA, 253 nt
Filed under: uncultured bacterium
Lineage: Bacteria
Description: partial 16S ribosomal RNA
Rfam family: Bacterial small subunit ribosomal RNA
Source: RNAcentral
UACGUAGGGUGCGAGCGUUGUCCGGAAUUAUUGGGCGUAAAGAGCUUGUAGGCGGUUUGUCGCGUCUGCUGUGAAAAUCCGGGGCUCAACUCCGGACUUGCAGUGGGUACGGGCAGGCUAGAGUGUGGUAGGGGAGACUGGAAUUCCUGGUGUAGCGGUGAAAUGCGCAGAUAUCAGGAGGAACACCGGUGGCGAAGGCGGGUCUCUGGGCCGAUACUGACGCUGAGGAGCGAAAGCGUGGGGAGCAAACAGG